This 279-nucleotide ribosomal RNA is filed under the name uncultured bacterium. RNAcentral describes it as "partial 16S ribosomal RNA". It matches the Rfam family "Bacterial small subunit ribosomal RNA", at positions 506 to 784 of the family's 1533-position model. The record is from RNAcentral.
UGCCAGCAGCCGCGGUAAUACGGAGGGUGCAAGCGUUGUUCGGAAUUACUGGGCGUAAAGCGCGCGUAGGCGGCUUUGUAAGUUGGAUGUGAAAGCCCCGGGCUUAACCUGGGAUGGUCAUUCAAAACUGCUUGACUAGAGUACAGUAGAGGGAAGUGGAAUUUCAGGUGUAGCGGUGAAAUGCGUAGAUAUCUGAAGGAACACCAGUGGCGAAGGCGGCUUCCUGGACUGAUACUGACACUGAGACGCGAAAGCGUGGGGAGCGAACAGGAUUAGAUA